CAGUCGCCGCGGUAAAACGAAGGGGGCUAGCGUUGCUCGGAAUGGCUGGGCGUAAAGGGCGCGUAGGCGGAUUGUUUAGUUAGGCGUGAAAUUCCUGGGCUUAACCUGGGGGCUGCGCUUAAUACAGGCAGUCUAGAGUGAGGAAGAGGGUUGUGGAAUUCCCAGUGUAGAGGUGAAAUUCGUAGAUAUUGGGAAGAACACCGGUGGCGAAGGCGGCAACCUGGUCCUUGACUGACGCUGAGGCGCGAAAGCGUGGGGAGCAAACAGGAUUAGAGACCCGCGUAGUCCCUGUCUCUUAUAU
RNAcentral lists this ribosomal RNA (301 nucleotides) under uncultured bacterium. RNAcentral's name for it is "partial 16S ribosomal RNA". It matches the Rfam family "Bacterial small subunit ribosomal RNA", at positions 509 to 809 of the family's 1533-position model. The record is from RNAcentral.